RNAcentral lists this ribosomal RNA (435 nucleotides) under uncultured Lachnospiraceae bacterium. RNAcentral's name for it is "partial 16S ribosomal RNA". It matches the Rfam family "Bacterial small subunit ribosomal RNA", at positions 341 to 792 of the family's 1533-position model. Lineage: Bacteria; Bacillati; Bacillota; Clostridia; Lachnospirales; Lachnospiraceae. The record is from RNAcentral.
ACGGGAGGCAGCAGUGGGGAAUAUUGGACAAUGGGGGGAAACCCUGAUCCAGCGACGCCGCGUGAGUGAAGUAGUAUUUCGGUAUGUAAAGCUCUAUCAGCAAGGAAGAAAAUGACGGUACUUGACUAAGAAGCUCCGGCUAAGUACGUGCCAGCAGCCGCGGUAAUACGUAUGGAGCAAGCGUUAUCCGGAUUUACUGGGUGUAAAGGGGGCGUAGACGGCGAAGCAAGUCUGAAGUGAAAUGCCGGGGCUUAACCCCGGAACUGCUUUGGAAACUGUUUUGCUAGAGUGCAGGAGAGGUAAGCGGAAUUCCUAGUGUAGCGGUGAAAUGCGUAGAUAUUAGGAGGAACACCAGUGGCGAAGGCGGCUUACUGGACUGUAACUGACGUUGAGGCUCGAAAGCGUGGGGAGCAAACAGGAUUAGAUACCCUGGUA